GAUUAUGGCUCAGGAUGAACGCUAGCUACAGGCUUAACACAUGCAAGUCGAGGGGCAGCAUGUAUCUGGCUUGCCAGAUACGAUGGCGACCGGCGCACGGGUGAGUAACGCGUAUCCGACCUGCCGCACACUCCGGGAUAGCCUUGCGAAAGCAAGUUUAAUACCGGAUGCCGUAAGGACGCCGCAUGGUGUUUUUACGAAAGGGGUUUACCGGUGUGCGAUGGGGAUGCGUCCCAUUAG
Molecule: ribosomal RNA, 240 nt
Filed under: uncultured bacterium
Lineage: Bacteria
Description: partial 16S ribosomal RNA
Rfam family: Bacterial small subunit ribosomal RNA
Source: RNAcentral